GCCUGCGGGUGGGGCAUGGACCGUCUUUCCGACAAACGGUGCUGGGAAACCAGGUGUCUACGUGCGGGAGAAGGAAGCCGCACGCUGACCUCAUGCCGUAUACAAGUGCUAGCCCCAUACGGACCGAGGACCAAAAUGUAAGACCCAGAAAACCACGGAAGGGGAGCCCCAAGGCAUUGGGUGCGGCAGAGGUCCCCGGGUGUGACCCAGAGGCACAAGGUGACAGAAGGAAAAAACAGACAAAAGGGACCUCACGCGAGUCUUAGGAUUCCGCACGACCGGACGCUCCGUGGGGGGCUCAGGCGGCUCGCGAGGCUGGUGGUCGGGAGGCGCACAGCGCUCGUCCUUCUGCGUCCGCGUCUCCCACCGUGCGCAGCGCCCUCCGGGCCCGCGCGGUGUAGCGGGGGUCAGGGUGUCCUUCCGGGAGUGGAGCUCCGUCUGGGUAGACGGCCGUCCGUCUGUCUGCUCCCCUGCAGACAGACCUCUGGGCUUCUGGGAACCGAGCUGCAGGGAGCACGGCUGGGCUUCUCGUUCACUCGGGCCCGUGCCAGGAGGUGCGAUCCCCGCUCUCACGGCAGUCCUAACUUUCUGGGGGGACCUCCCCCAUCUGUGUGAGCGCGACUGGCUCACGGUCCCACCAGCCGCGCUCCUGGUUCCCCCGCACCCUCACGGCAGUCGCCGUUUGCCGCUCUGUCGCCGGCGGCCCUGCGAGCAGGUGUGCUGCGGGCUCUUGGAGGGCGAGUGCAGUGGGCUCUCGGGGGCUCCCACCCCUCUCGCAGGGCUCGCCUCGUGCGCAGUAGGUGCCCAGGGCCUGUCGGACUCUCCUGAGCCCGCGGACUCGGCCCUGCCUCUGGGGCAGUGAGACAAAGCCCUCAGGAGACACUGGAGCUCGGAGUCCGGGCAGCAGAGCCAAAACAGGGCCUUGGCCGGGCCGGGCUGCUGGGGGAGCCUGUGGGCAUCUGGGGCAUGGAGGGUAUCAGGACCAGCUAACACCCGAGCUUAGCUCACUUACAGGAUGGCGUGAUCUCAGAACCUACUGGCCAGUGGCCACGGAGGCCAGGCCGGGGAGGGGCCUGGAAGGGGCCUCUGUCUCCCCGGGCCCCAAGCUGAGCUCCACGCUCCCAGAGGCCUUUGCUCCCUCUGCCCCCACCCAGCCACAGCCUCGGCGCCCAGGGCGGCAGCAGACACCCGAGACGAAAGCCAUGGCUGGGCCCUCCGCCCCCGGAGUGAGGUCUUGUCUGAGGGACAGAAAGGCCUUCUCCGUCCUCCUCCCGUGGGCUCUUCGCAGCCCGCUGGCUGUCCCCGACGCGGUGUCAUCCGGGGUCCGGCCCGGCCUCCCUGGGGUGCCCGCCGUGGACUCCCCGGCCCGGGGUCUGCCCUGGCCCUCCCUGUUCCCUCCCUCUCCCCUAGCUUUGCUUUCCCCAAAGCAGAGGCUGAUGGUAAGCCGGGAUUUGGGGUGUGCAUGCCGGGGGGCACUAGAGAAAGGCUGCAUUUCUGAGACCCUCACUCAGGGACCCUGCUCCCAGGGAGGAGGGCGGGGCUCGGCUGUCCCAGGAGCAGGGGGCUCCGGAGGGCUGCGCGGGCCACCCGAUGGGCUGGACCUGUCCCAGGCGAAGCCUCAGCCAUGGUGAGCGCCCCAGGACUAGUCCAGCUCCUGCCCGGUGCACCCUCCGGCCCCAGCCUCCGACCCCCCCCACACCCUCCCCUCAUCCUUUGUGGAAACGGAGCGGCUGCCCGGCGAGGACAAGAGGCUCGAACCGCACGCACAGCCGGCUCCUGCGGACGAGCGCAGAGCCCAGGGCAGCGGAAUUCUGAUGUCCCCCUGACCCCCAGCCCGGGCCCAGCAGGGGCGGCUGCAGGGUCUGCGUCUCUCCCGCGGGACAAGGGGCCCGAUGGGCCUGGAGGUGGGCCGGCCUCCCGCGCCCCGUGCUGCCUCCUCUGCUCUGGUGAAGAAGCGCAGGCGGCCCCGCGGUGCGGCCGAGCGCCGCAUCAUUCCCGGUGGCUCACAGGGACGCGGCGCUGCUCACCUGGGACUGGCCUGGGGACAGCCCCGUCGGCAGCCGCGGCAGGGAAAGGCCCCGUGGCUCCGGCCCGCGCCGCCCGAGCUGAGGGGCCGCCGCGCCUGGACACCGGCACUUCCGGCCGCACCUGAAAAAGACACAGUGUCUGAGCGCAAAGGGAAAGCCUUCGGGAAACGGAAGGGAAAGGGGUUGGCAGAAGCGCCCCGGGAACGCGGGGGGCACCGGCCGGGACCUUCCCGUCGUCCCUGCGCUCUGCGAAGGGCACGUUGACGCGAACGGCCGCGCCGCGAGCGAGCCCGACCUUCCGAGCGUUCCUUUUUCCUCCUUCCGCCUCUCCCUUCCUUCCUCUGUUCUCUUCUGAGUCGGCUCCCAACUUGGGAACAGCUCCAGAUCGACAGAAGGGCCCAGAGACCGCGCAGAGCCCCCCCACCCUCCCCGUGCCGUCCUCGCGCGGCCCAAAGCAGGAGCGAGCCUGGCUCGCGGUCGGUAGCCGGAGUCCACUCUGCUCAGGAGUCCCUGGUUUUCUUGUCACACCCUCUCUCCGCCCCGUCGUCACGUCUCCCAGGCUCCUCGGGGCCGAGCCGUCUCUCACGUCCCUGGUUUUGGGGGGCCCGGCAAUUCUUGGCGGGGGGGGGGGGGUUCUGGGGCCAUCCCUCCGUCGGGAUCGUGUGAGGACGGGCGACGGGUUUGGGAAGGAAGAGCAGAGCUGAAGGGCCUUCUCCUCGCCUCACGUCAGGGGUCUCUGUUCUCAGCGGGACCCGUCACCGAGGACGGGGCCUUGACCCCGGGCUGCGGUGUGUUCAUUCUCCCCAGUGCGAGUACUGUUCUCUCUGGAAGGACGUCACGCCGUGGAGCCCACACCCCGGGGUUGGGGGGGUCAUGCCCCACUUACACUUCACCUUCUUGGGUCGGGGGCCUCGACAUGAAUCCCUUUCCCCCUGCGCGUGAGACCUGUGUGCUCCCCACUCACUCAUUCGCUGGCGCGUCUACGUCGGCGGGUGCCUCAGUGUCCGCGGGUGCGCCGGGUCGUUUCCCGCUGCUGCCUCACUUACUCCGUCGUUUCAGCUGCCCCAUCGUUGGCCCCUGGGAGCCCAUCCGGAGGGAGGGCUCGGGUGCGGAUUACUUCCCUGGCGCCACGCGGAGCGUAGGUUCCCUGCCUCGGGCCCAAGUCAGCUGCGUCCCUGUGUCUUCCUGUUCUUGGAGGAGGGUAUUAGAGACCAAAGUCUGGGGGCUGGGUGUGCUCAUUGCUACUGGGAUGUCCUCACCAGCAGGCCCUCUCUGGUGACAGGGUGAGGAGGUGAAUGUGUGCACGUGACCCUGCACACGCACACG
Molecule: long non-coding RNA, 3353 nt
Organism: Mustela erminea (ermine)
Lineage: Eukaryota; Metazoa; Chordata; Mammalia; Carnivora; Mustelidae
Exons: 3
Source: RefSeq, a predicted model, not a curated record